GAUGAACGCUAGCGGCAGGCCUAAUACAUGCAAGUCGGACGGGAUUCAGGAGCUUGCUUCUGAUGAGAGUGGCGCACGGGUGCGUAACACGUAUGUAACCUACCUUUAUCAGGGGGAUAGCCUCUCGAAAGAGAGAUUAAGCCCGCAUAAAAUCACAGCACAGCAUUGUGUAAUGAUCAAAUAUUUAUAGGAUAAAGAUGGGCAUGCGGAACAUUAGCUAGAUGGCGGGGUAACGGCCCACCAUGGCUACGAUGUUUAGGGGAUCUGAGGGGAUGGCCCCCCACACUGGUACUGAGACACGGACCAGACUCCUACGGGAGGCAGCAGUAAGGAACAUUGGGCAAUGAGCGGAAGCCUGAACCAGCCAUGCCGCGUGCAGGAAGACGGCCAUACGGGUUGUAAACUGCUUUUAUACGGGAAUAAACCAAGAUACGUGUAUCUGGCUGAAUGUACUGUAAGAAUAAGGAUCGGCUAACUCCGUG
RNAcentral lists this ribosomal RNA (482 nucleotides) under uncultured bacterium. Its description in RNAcentral is "partial 16S ribosomal RNA". It matches the Rfam family "Bacterial small subunit ribosomal RNA", at positions 28 to 507 of the family's 1533-position model. The record is from RNAcentral.